This 166-nucleotide ribosomal RNA is filed under the name uncultured bacterium. RNAcentral's name for it is "partial 16S ribosomal RNA". It matches the Rfam family "Bacterial small subunit ribosomal RNA", at positions 1335 to 1500 of the family's 1533-position model. The record is from RNAcentral.
CUAGUAAUCGCGGAUCAGAAUGCCGCGGUGAAUACGUUCCCGGGCCUUGUACACACCGCCCGUCACACCAUGGGAGCCGGGAAUGCCCGAAGUCGGUGACCCAACCGUAAGGAGGGAGCCGCCGAAGGCAGGCCUGGUAACUGGGGUGAAGUCGUAACAAGGUAGC